RNAcentral lists this ribosomal RNA (484 nucleotides) under uncultured bacterium. Its description in RNAcentral is "partial 16S ribosomal RNA". It matches the Rfam family "Bacterial small subunit ribosomal RNA", at positions 28 to 507 of the family's 1533-position model. The record is from RNAcentral.
AUUGAACGCUGGCGGCAUGCUUUACACAUGCAAGUCGAACGGCAGCGCGGGCUUCGGCCUGGCGGCGAGUGGCGAACGGGUGAGUAAUGCAUCGGAACGUGCCCAGUAGUUGGGGAUAGCCCGGCGAAAGCCGGAUUAAUACCGCAUACGACCUGAGGGUGAAAGCGGGGGACCGAAAGGCCUCGCGCUAUUGGAGCGGCCGAUGUCGGAUUAGCUAGUUGGUGGGGUAAAGGCUUACCAAGGCGACGAUCCGUAGCUGGUCUGAGAGGACGACCAGCCACACUGGGACUGAGACACGGCCCAGACUCCUACGGGAGGCAGCAGUGGGGAAUUUUGGACAAUGGGGGCAACCCUGAUCCAGCCAUGCCGCGUGCGGGAAGUAGGCCUUCGGGUUGUAAACCGCUUUUGUUCGGGAAGAAAUCCUCUGGGCUAAUACCCCGGGGGGAUGACGGUACCGGAAGAAUAAGCACCGGCUAACUACGUG